This is an RNA transcript of Zingiber officinale, 4746 nucleotides long. It is a transcript of the gene named protein ALTERED PHOSPHATE STARVATION RESPONSE 1-like, with no coding region annotated. The transcript is spliced from 5 exons. The record is from RefSeq and is a predicted model, not a curated record. NCBI's taxonomy places the organism in Eukaryota, Viridiplantae, Streptophyta, Magnoliopsida, Zingiberales, Zingiberaceae.
GGAAGACGAAUGCUGCUCGCAUAUCAUGCUUCUUGGUGUACUGCGACGGAAUCCGCCGCUCUUUUCGCCGAUCGCCGCAGCCUGAUCCCUCCUCCGGUUGCUGCUGGAUCCGGCGCGCGGGUGGUGCGAUUGCUGCUGCUCGUGUCGCCUUGAGAGUGGAUUUUUGUUUUUUGUUUUUUUGUUUUGUUUUUCCGGUGGGAUAUGGGCUGCGGAGGCUCCAAGAUCGAGGAGGAGGCCGCGGUGACGCUCUGCCGCCGGCGCACGCGGCUUCUUGCCGAUGUCAUUCGCUGUCGCUACGAUCUCGCCGACGCACACUCCGCUUACGUCGGAUCCCUCGCAUCCGUCAGCGCCGCUCUCCGUGAGUUGCUGAAUGGGCCGCUCCCGCCUUCUUCCCCUGUACUCCCCCUCCCCGGCCAGCGGAAGGGUGACUCCCUCCCGCCGCUCACUCCGUCCCCUCCUCCGGCGGCCGCGGCACUCCCCUCUGCUGCUGACCGUGGCCACUCUGGCUCGCACAUUCAUUUCCAUUCCUCAGAUUCUGAUUCGGACGAUGAUUCGCCCCUUCACUCGGAUGGCGCUUCUCCGAUCCACCACCUCCCCGGGGAUGACUCUCCGCCCGUUGGGCGGACCUACCUCAACCUACACUAUGCGAGAAACCGCCCCGCAGAGUCGUCGGUCACCUAUGAGCAGCAACCUCCGAGCUCCGAGCCGAUACGCUUCGGCACCGUUGAUGAACUUGCUCCCACGGCUUACUCUUACUAUGGCCGCCCGUAUCCCCCUCAAAAUUCCAACUUUUACCCUUCCCAUCCUUCUUAUCCAUCAUACGUCAACUACGGUGGCGGUAUCUUCGGAUCCUCCUCACCGCCUCCAAACAUUCCGCCACCUGCCAUGGGAGCAGGUGGGAAUCCUACUCCUAGUGAGCCUCCGCCACCUCCGUCGCCCAAGGCUUCAACAUGGGAUUUUCUCAACCCGUUCGAGUCGUAUGAUGAUUAUUACGCUCCAUAUACCUCAAGCCGAAGCUCAAACGAGUUGAGAGAGGAGGAAGGAAUUCCUGAUCUGGAAGACGAAGCUCAGGAAGUGGUCAAGGAAGCUUAUGGCGAUCCAAAGUUCGUAGCAUCCACAUCAGCCGCUGCAGAUGGGGAGCACUAUGGUAAGGCUGCUAUGGGGUCAAAAGAAGUUAUGACCGGAAGUGUUGGGGAAGAUUCCCAAAGAAAGUCGAAGUCAAUGGAGGUAAGGAGUAGCUCGGAGCAGGAGGUUCAUGUGGUGGAGAAGAGUGUGGUGACUGGACCAGCAGAGCAGCACAAUGCAGAUUUCAUGGUUUCUAAGAAUUAUCAAAAUGAUUCUGAGAUCGUGCAGGAGAUAAAGAUUCAGUUUGAUAGGGCUUCCCAAUCGGUUGUUCAGGUGUCCAAGAUUCUUGAAGUGGGAAAGGUUCAGUAUCAGCACAAGAAUUCUGUGUAUAAAGUUUCUGCCGGGAUGAUAUGUGGACUUUCUCUAUUUGCAACUUCUACCAGCAAAGAUCUUUCAUUUGAAGAAGACUACAGUCUUUCGUCAACAUUGCAGAAGCUCUACAAUUGGGAACAAAAGCUUCUCGAGGAAGUCAUGGUUGAAGAAGAGAUGAGGGUGCUAUAUGAAAGAAAACUCCAAUACUCGAGGCACUUAAGUGAAAGGGGCGCAGAAGCUGAAAGGCUUGAUGCAGUGGAAACUACCAUCAGGAAACUGUCUACAAAGAUAAGAGUAGCCAUUCAAGUUGUGGACACAGUUUCAAGUAAAAUCAGUCAGUUAAGGGAUGAAGAAUUAUGGCUACUAAUUAAAGAACUAAUUAGUGGGUUUAAGGAGAUGUGGAAAGUUAUAUCAGAAUGCCAUCAUAUUCAGUAUCAAGCAAUAUCUGAGACCAAAAACAUGGACUCUAUUGUGUCUGGAGGAAAGCUUUCUGAUAAUACUCAUCCAGACACAGUAAAGCAAUUAGAACUGGCGAUGGCGGAAUGGAUUGCCAAUUUCUCUGCUUGGGUUAGCGCUCAAAAGAUCUAUAUCAGUGCUUUGAAUGAAUGGCUGAAGAAAGGUAUCCAUUAUGAACCAGAGGUUACAGAUGAUGGAGUGGUUCCUUUUUCUCCUGGAAGAUUAGGUGCACCUCCUGUAUUUGUCAUUUGUAACUAUUGGUCUUCCAGCAUAGAAAUGGUAUCUGAAAAAGCUGUUGUUAAAGCAGCAAAGGAUUUUGUUGAUACUGUUCUUAAUAUUUGGAAAGAGAACAAAGUUUUGCUGCAGCAGAGAUUAUUGAUAAACAAAAAUAUGGAUGACAUGCUAAGGUCAAUGGAAAAUGAACAAGAAGAACUUCUUAAGCAGAGAAAAAAAUUAAUGAUAAUUUCUGGUGAUAAUUUGGCAACAACUGAACAUGUGCAUCAUGAAUCGACUAGUCUCCAGUCCAAUUUGAGGCAUAUCUUUGAAGCUGUAAAAGAUUUUUCUGCUAAUACCAUGAAAGCAUAUGAGGUACUUUACAAACAAACUGAAGAGACACAGAUUUGCUGAGCCGAGGCAAGAGAGUUGUAGGAUAUUGCAUCAUUUUGAUUGAUCAUCCACACAACUACUUGACUUUGUUGAGAUUAGUAUUCAUGGAUAAAUGUGAGCCAUAGCUCUGUCAUUAGACUCAAGGUUUGUGUCUGGUAUAUAUCAUCAGAUGCUUGGUAAAAUAGUUGCUCUUCCACCUUCGGCAAUUGGAUCAAGGCUAUGAACCAGCUCACUUCAUAUGUAUCCAUUGUUUGCGGUACUUUCUCAAAGUCAUUUCCAAAAAGCUCAGAGUGAGCAUAGGCAAAAUGGAUCUGAGAUGAACUUCUGAGUGUAUCAUAAAACAUUGGCAGAAAACUUGGCAUGACCUUCAUAGAUAAAGAUUCCAAUGAUUCACAAUCAUGUAUAGGGGAUCCAUAUCAUGAGCAUAUCACUCUAGAUAGUGUGACCUACAAGGUCUGAGUAGCUUUAUAUCAUCACAAUGGAAGGACCAAACAACAGGAAAAUGAUUUCCAAACCGCUAUAUCAGAAAGUUUGGUGGUAUAUGAUGAUUAGUUGGUUUAAGUCUUGGUAUUUGAAAGUUGACUAGGUAAUUUGCAGUUAGCUCCGAAAUAUUAGAAUCUCCAUGUGUAUGUCAGACACCUGAUAGUCCAACACCGAUCCUUUGAGUUGGAUAUCAACAUCCUCAUUGAUAUUAUGACGUUGAUCCUCCGAGUUCAAUAUCAACAUCCCCAUUGAGUGUGUAAGAAAUUGAGGAACAACUGUGCCAGAAACUUAGAUCCAUAUCUGUAAACAACUGAGCCAGAAACUCAGAUCCAUACCUGUAAACAACUGUGCUAGAAACUUAGAUCCAUAUCUGUGUUGGAUCUACUCUUACUGAAAUCUAGUAGCAGUCUACCACUGGCCCAUAUCACCUUUUCAAUCAUUUAUGUAAUUGUACAAGAACUUCUGCCAAAGUAUGCCACACCACAAACUCAGCUCCACCUCUUCACUGCAGUCUGUACUUUUCAUGCUGCUCUGAUUAAUUAAAUGCAAGCAUUUGUUGCCACUGUUACUGCUGUCAUUUUUGCAUGACAAUGAGCUUGGAACAGCACAAUACAGGAGCAUUUGGUUAGCCAGUGAGGCUUCAGCUUCACUUACUACUGAUCUCCCACAUAAUUCUCAUUAUGAUUAUCAGUUAGCACAGCAUAGUGCAAGCAACUGAUACUCAGGGAAAGAGAUUAUUAUGUAUGUGCAAAUGUGGAUUACCUUUACCUCAGCUUAGUCCAUAAGCUAUUCGGUUUGUCAACCUUGCUGUGCAGUUGGCGUACAGAAACAGUGUCUUUAGCAAUAUUGGUUCUAUGCUCAUUGACUUGUGAUUUACUGCAGUCUUAUCUGUCUAAUUAGCCAGCAUGAUAGCAGAUGAAAUGGGGUAUGAACUCUGAAGGUCUUGCGGCAGAGACGAAAAAUCUAGAUAAACACAUGACUGUUUAGAAUCUGAUGUAGUUACUGACUGAAGCAUGCUGAAUUGCUUAUUUUUGUUAGGAAGGCCAAGGAUAGAUGGGUCAAGCAAUAGAUGAGUUCGAUAAACCCGUAGGUUGAACGCACCAGGAAGAUCGAACAGGUUAAAAGCUUGAGUGGGAUAAACAGAUUAACUGGAUGGAUCGAAUAAGCCUUAUCAAUAAAGCCAAGCAGAAGAUGACUUUGGCUGGUUCCAAAAAUGCUAUGGUUGUGACAUGACCCAACUCAGCAUGUACUCAUAAGAAACAAGUCAGCAGCUCUGCAAGUCUCUGUAGCCUGAUUUCAAUGCCUGGCGACUUGUUGCUAAAAUCUUCUGUAAUUCUAUAUCACAUGCAUUGCUUCUAAUUGUCUUGUAGAAACAGAUUACUCUGUUCUGUUGUUAUAACAUGUUUAGGAAGUGAAGCAGGGUGUGACUGACCACGAAGACUGUCUUUUAGUUCUUCACAAGUAGACGAGCAUAAAGUCCAGAGGACAAUCAUUAUCACACCGCUUAGCUGCCCGUGAUUAGUGGCUGUUCAUGUUCAUGACUCCAGAUCAUGUGAGGCAUCAGUCAACUAGAGCGACUGAUAGAUUUGUAAAACUACGAGAUCUCGCUCACUCAAUACGGUAACGAUAUCUUGAAUGGUAGCUGAAAGGUACUUGGGUGUUGGCUCCACAGUCAUCUGUAGAGAGAUAAAUUAAGAAACUGUAAUUGACGAACAUGUGUACGAUAUCUUGAAUGAAUCUAUAAAGGUUAUGUUUGAUCAAAAA